UACGUAGGGUGCGAGCGUUGUCCGGAAUUAUUGGGCGUAAAGGGCUCGUAGGCGGUCUGUCACGUCGGGAGUGAAAACACGGGGCUUAACCCCGAGCCUGCAGUGGAUACGGGCAGACUAGAGGUAGGUAGGGGAGAAUGGAAUUCCCGGUGUAGCGGUGAAAUGCGCAGAUAUCAGGAGGAACACCGAUGGCGAAGGCGGCAUCCUGGACCGAUACUGACGCUGAGGAGCGAAAGCCAGGGGAGCAAACGGG
This 253-nucleotide ribosomal RNA is filed under the name uncultured bacterium. RNAcentral's name for it is "partial 16S ribosomal RNA". It matches the Rfam family "Bacterial small subunit ribosomal RNA", at positions 524 to 776 of the family's 1533-position model. The record is from RNAcentral.